This 524-nucleotide ribosomal RNA is filed under the name uncultured endophytic bacterium. RNAcentral describes it as "bacterial SSU rRNA". It matches the Rfam family "Bacterial small subunit ribosomal RNA", at positions 9 to 524 of the family's 1533-position model. The record is from RNAcentral.
GAGUUUGAUCCUGGCUCAGAUUGAACGCUGGCGGCAGGCCUAACACAUGCAAGUCGAACGGUAGCACAGAGAGCUUGCUCUCGGGUGACGAGUGGCGGACGGGUGAGUAAUGUCUGGGAAACUGCCUGAUGGAGGGGGAUAACUACUGGAAACGGUAGCUAAUACCGCAUAACCUCGAAAGAGCAAAGUGGGGGACCUUCGGGCCUCACGCUGUCGGAUGUGCCCAGAUGGGAUUAGCUAGUAGGUGGGGUAAUGGCUCACCUAGGCGACGAUCCCUAGCUGGUCUGAGAGGAUGACCAGCCACACUGGAACUGAGACACGGUCCAGACUCCUACGGGAGGCAGCAGUGGGGAAUAUUGCACAAUGGGCGCAAGCCUGAUGCAGCCAUGCCGCGUGUAUGAAGAAGGCCUUCGGGUUGUAAAGUACUUUCAGCGGGGAGGAAGGCGAUAAGGUUAAUAACCUUGUCGAUUGACGUUACCCGCAGAAGAAGCACCGGCUAACUCCGUGCCAGCAGCCGCGGUAAU